Molecule: ribosomal RNA, 504 nt
Filed under: uncultured bacterium
Lineage: Bacteria
Description: partial 16S ribosomal RNA
Rfam family: Bacterial small subunit ribosomal RNA
Source: RNAcentral
AUUGAACGCUGGCGGCAGGCCUAACACAUGCAAGUCGAACGGUAGCACAGAGAGCCUGCUCUCGGGUGACGAGUGGCGGACGGGUGAGUAACGUCUGGGAAACUGCCCGAUGGAGGGGGAUAACUACUGGAAACGGUAGCUAAUACCGCAUAACGUCGCAAGACCAAAGUGGGGGACCUUCGGGCCUCACACCAUCGGAUGUGCCCAGAUGGGAUUAGCUAGUAGGUGGGGUAAUGGCUCACCUAGGCGACGAUCCCUAGCUGGUCUGAGAGGAUGACCAGCACAACUGGAACUGAGACACGGUCCAGGCUCCUACGGGAGGCAGCAGUGGGGAAUAUUGCACAAUGGGCGCAAGCCUGAUGCAGCCAUGCCGCGUGUAUGAAGAAGGCCUUCGGGUUGUAAAGUACUUUCAGCGGGGAGGAAGGCGGUGAAGUUAAUAACUUCACCGAUUGACGUUACCCGCAGAAGAAGCACCGGCUAACUCCGUGCCAGCCGCCGCCGUAA